UUUGGAGGUUUCGGCUGGAAGGAUAAUACUUUAGCGGCGGACGGGUGAGUAACGUGUGGGCAACCUGCCGUAUACAGGGGAAUAAUCAUUGGAAACGAUGACUAAUACCGCAUGAGGUCACUGGGAGGCAUCUUCUGGUGAAGAAAGGAGAGAUCCGGUAUACGAUGGGCCCGCAUCUGAUUAGCUAGUUGGUGAGAUAACAGCCCACCAAGGCGACGAUCAGUAGCCGACCUGAGAGGGUGAUCGGCCACAUUGGGACUGAGACACGGCCCAAACUCCUACGGGAGGCAGCAGUGGGGAAUAUUGCACAAUGGGGGGAACCCUGAUGCAGCAACGCCGCGUGAAGGAAGAAGGCUUUCGGGUCGUAAACUUCUAUCGAUAGGGAAGAAAGAAAUGACGGUACCUAAAUAAGAAGCCCCGGCUAACUACGUGCCAGCAGCCGCGGUAAUACGUAGGGGGCAAGCGUUAUCCGGAAUUACUGGGUGUAAAGGGAGCGUAGGCGGCAUGGUAAGCCAGAUGUGAAAGCCCGCGGCUUAACUGCGAGGAUUGCAUUUGGAACUAUCAAGCUAGAGUACAGGAGAGGAAAGCGGAAUUCCUAGUGUAGCGGUGAAAUGCGUAGAUAUUAGGAAGAACACCAGUGGCGAAGGCGGCUUUCUGGACUGAAACUGACGCUGAGGCUCGAAAGCGUGGGGAGCAAACAGGAUUAGAUACCCUGGUAGUCCACGCUGUAAACGAUGAGUGCUAGGUGUCGGAGGGGAACCUUCGGUGCCGCAGUAAACACAAUAAGCACU
Molecule: ribosomal RNA, 791 nt
Filed under: uncultured bacterium
Lineage: Bacteria
Description: bacterial SSU rRNA
Rfam family: Bacterial small subunit ribosomal RNA
Source: RNAcentral